CUCGCUCAGGGCGUGCUGCGGGUUCCAGCCGUAAAACGACCUUCAGAACCCAAGGUGACCU
This 61-nucleotide ribosomal RNA is filed under the name Thermothelomyces thermophilus. RNAcentral's name for it is "partial 28S ribosomal RNA". Lineage: Eukaryota; Fungi; Ascomycota; Sordariomycetes; Sordariales; Chaetomiaceae. The record is from RNAcentral.